Molecule: long non-coding RNA, 534 nt
Organism: Mus musculus (house mouse)
Lineage: Eukaryota; Metazoa; Chordata; Mammalia; Rodentia; Muridae
Product: predicted gene, 39199
Exons: 4
Source: RefSeq, a predicted model, not a curated record
UUAAAAUAAGGGCAAACUAACUCAUGACGGAUGGAAUCAGGCAUCAGAAUGAGUGUCUGUUCACACUGCUUUUGCCUAAUCUGCUGUAGAAGAAGAAGAAGAUGAUGAUGAUGACAGUGAUGAUGAUGAUGAGAUGAUGGAGAUGAUGAUGAUGAUGGAGAUGAUGAUGAUGGUGAUUAUGAUGAUGGAGAUAAUAGCACUGGUGAAAGGUUGCCCUGCUGACUACUCCAGCAAUGCUCCAGAGUGCUAGAGAAUAAUAUUCAGAAGGCUAUCCACAACUGGGAAAGAAGAGGGAUUUUGAACCUUCAUGUCUGUAAGAAUAGCUAAUGGGUGCCUGCAUUACAUGCUGGGCCACCCUGUUAGUCCCUUGUUUACAAGCUUGCAGAGUAUAUUCCUGUCCAUGAAUACCAGUCCAUAGAGGUGAAACCACAAAUACUAGUUCACAGGGAUGAAGACUCUAGUAUCUAAGUCAGGCUUCAGGGAACUAAGUCAACUCAUCAAACUGGGCAGGGGCAUGACCUGCUUAACUGGACU